This is a non-coding RNA of Momordica charantia (bitter melon), 1627 nucleotides long. NCBI's taxonomy places the organism in Eukaryota, Viridiplantae, Streptophyta, Magnoliopsida, Cucurbitales, Cucurbitaceae. The record is from RefSeq and is a predicted model, not a curated record.
CAUAGCAAAGAGAGGGAGGGAAGAGAACGCGAUCCGCUUCGGCUUCCUUUUUUCGCGCCUUUUACUGUUCCUGAGAGUUCCAAAAUCGAAAUCGAUUGCCCUAAUUUGCACUCUCAUUUUCGAUUUUUCUUCGCGAUGAUUUGGUGGAGGAUUCUUUGGCGGUUAGCGGAUCACAGAUGCUGCUCUCGGACCUUCGAUUUUAGGAUGAGGCUCGUAGCUGUUGUUGCGCAAGAGGUUUCUGAACAGAAAUUGCUAUGGCGAUACUCUUAGCGUUUUCGAAUUGCUAUAUGCUUUUCGAUAUAAUGAAAUGCGGUCUGGUGCUCGCGAUCUUCUAAUAUUUUACGUAUCAUCCGUGUUGUAAUGAUAUCUGGAGGUCUACAGUGUAAAAUCUCGAUUAAACGAUUGUUCGCAUGGACUGACGCUGGUAGCUGAUUGCAGGCGAUGACUACUUCAUUGGCCUUGUUUUUCGUGAUAAACGAGUCAUGAGAAACUGGAGGUGGUUUGUCUGUGCAAUUGGAAGAACUUUUCGAUUUUCGUCGAUAGCAUAAUGUUUUAUGUUGAGGUGAAAUAAAACUGAACUAAAAGAUUUAAUCUAAUCCAAUCAUAAGAAAUUAUUUGUAAUUUUCCUGCGUCAUUUUUUUCUUUGGUUCUCAAGAGGUAGCGUUGAGGAACUUUUUCAUUUUCACGAGUUUUCAAGCUAAACCAGAAUUCCUUCUUACUGCCUACUUCAAUGUCCAAGACCAUGAUUCCUAAUUGUGGAGCUCAUAGUUUGGUUCACAUUAUAAAAUCGUACCUAGAACUGAUAUAUCUUUUUUUAUUACUAACUUGGUACAAAAAAUAGUGUUGAAGGAAAAUAGAGGUUAUCAGCCAGCACACCUUGAGUUGAAUGUAUCUAUCUUCCAGAGAUGAUGGAACUUGAGGUACAGUUUUUCAUUAAAAAAAAAAAAAAUUGAGGUCCAGUUUGUGUACUUGUUUAUGGUUCCACUGUUCUGUUAUCAUGAAAAUACUCCUUGUUUGGCAGCACGUUAUUUUAUUUUGCAAGAAAUCUCUGUUUCGUACCUUGUCAUUUUUAGGGUAAAAAAUGAUAAAAAAGUCCUGUGUUUAUCAGGUAUCUCCUGUUUCAAAAAGGUAAUGGAGCAUGUUUUAAGUAAGUGGCCUUUUGGUAACAUCUGGUUUCUCCAUAUCCAAUAUGUGAUGUUGGUUCACUGGGUUGCUAUAACCCAUUCUUAAGAAAGAUUAUUUUUAUUCAAUUGAGUUGCUACUUCUAUAAGUAAUUUGGUUUUAAUUUACUUGCUCUGUGAUUCAUUGUAGUCAAUCAUGUGAAAUAUUUUGUCAUUAGUUAUACGACACAUCCACUACUAAUUUAAUUCUAACCAUACCUGGUUGUAAAUUAAUGAUGCAAGGAAAGUAUACUCUUGGCCUUUGUGGUUCAUAUCUUUUGGGAGUCUAAUACUCAACUCCUCGUCCUAGUGGCUGUCGAAGCUCGGCCUGCAGGUGAUCGGCUUUGGUACGAAUGAGUCCAUACCGUUCUCAUAACACUCAUCUGCGCUUUCUGACAGUGCGUUCGCCGUCAUCUGCAGUACUCACAGCAAUGAUGGACAUCCUCUGACGGGAGGACGAUGGGGUC